AUUGAACGCUGGCGGCAUGCCUUACACAUGCAAGUCGAACGGUAACAGGUCUUCGGAUGCUGACGAGUGGCGCACGGGUGAGUAAUACAUCGGAACGUGCCCGAUCGUGGGGGAUAACGAGGCGAAAGCUGUGCUAAUACCGCAUACGAUCUACGGAUGAAAGCGGGGGAUCUUCGGACCUCGCGCGGACGGAGCGGCCGAUGGCAGAUUAGGUAGUUGGUGGGAUAAAAGCUUACCAAGCCGACGAUCUGUAGCUGGUCUGAGAGGAUGAUCAGCCACACUGGGACUGAGACACGGCCCAGACUCCUACGGGAGGCAGCAGUGGGGAAUUUUGGACAAUGGGCGAAAGCCUGAUCCAGCCAUGCCGCGUGCAGGAUGAAGGCCUUCGGGUUGUAAACUGCUUUUGUACGGAACGAAAAGCCUCUUUCUAAUAAAGAGGGGUCAUGACGGUACCGUAAGAAUAAGCACCGGCUAACUACGUG
This 482-nucleotide ribosomal RNA is filed under the name uncultured bacterium. RNAcentral's name for it is "partial 16S ribosomal RNA". It matches the Rfam family "Bacterial small subunit ribosomal RNA", at positions 30 to 507 of the family's 1533-position model. The record is from RNAcentral.